CGUACAGGUCUCCGUAGGUGAACCUGCGGAGGGAUCAUUACAAGAACGCCCGGGCUACGGCCUGGUUAUUCAUAACCCUUUGUUGUCCGACUCUGUUGCCUCCGGGGCGACCCUGCCUUCGGGCGGGGGCUCCGGGUGGACACUUCAAACUCUUGCGUAACUUUGCAGUCUGAGUAAACUUAAUUAAUAAAUUAAAACUUUUAACAACGGAUCUCUUGGUUCUGGCAUCGAUGAAGAACGCAGCGAAAUGCGAUAAGUAAUGUGAAUUGCAGAAUUCAGUGAAUCAUCGAAUCUUUGAACGCACAUUGCGCCCCCUGGUAUUCCGGGGGGCAUGCCUGUUCGAGCGUCAUUUCACCACUCAAGCCUCGCUUGGUAUUGGGCAACGCGGUCCGCCGCGUGCCUCAAAUCGUCCGGCUGGGUCUUCUGUCCCCUAAGCGUUGUGGAAACUAUUCGCUAAAGGGUGUUCGGGAGGCUACGCCGUAAAACAACCCUAUUUCUAAGGUUGACCUCGGAUCAGGUAGGGAUACCCGCUGAACUUAAGCAUAUCA
Molecule: ribosomal RNA, 548 nt
Filed under: uncultured fungus
Lineage: Eukaryota; Fungi
Description: eukaryotic LSU rRNA
Rfam family: 5.8S ribosomal RNA (bases 196-349)
Source: RNAcentral